GACGAACGCUGGCGGCGUGGAUUAGGCAUGCAAGUCGAACGGUAUCAUCCUUUCGGGGGUGAGAGAGUGGCGAACUGGUGAGUAACACGUAGGUUAUCUACCCUCAAGACGGGGACAACCCAGGGAAACUUGGGCUAAUACCGGAUGUGAGCAACUUUUAGUUGUUUGAAAGGUGGCGUAAGCUGUCGCUUGGGGAUGAGCCUGCGUCCUAUUAGUUAGUUGGUGAGGUAACGGCUCACCUAGGCAAUGAUAGGUAGGCGGCCUUAACGGGUGGUCGCCCCACACUGGGAUUGAGAUACGGCCCAGACUCCUACGGGAGGCAGCAGUCGAGAAUAGUCUACAAUGGUCGGAAGACUGAUAGUGCGACGCCGCGUGAACGAUGAAUCCCUUCGGGGUGUAAAGUUCUUUUAUAUGUGAGCAGUGCUUCUUAUAUUAACAGUAUGGGGAGAGAGAUAUUAGCAUAUGAAUAAGCAACGGCUAACUCCGUGCCAGCAGCCGCGGUACUCGU
Molecule: ribosomal RNA, 508 nt
Filed under: uncultured bacterium
Lineage: Bacteria
Description: bacterial SSU rRNA
Rfam family: Bacterial small subunit ribosomal RNA
Source: RNAcentral